This 1201-nucleotide long non-coding RNA is filed under the name Sus scrofa (pig). RNAcentral describes it as "lncRNA (ENSSSCG00045009730.1)". The record is from RNAcentral. Lineage: Eukaryota; Metazoa; Chordata; Mammalia; Artiodactyla; Suidae.
UAAUAUUCACUAAUGAACCAUCAACACUUUUCUUGUUAAAACGUUAGAGGUGGAUAUUUUUGUAUACUCAGAGAAGUGCACCAGAGCUUGCAACUCCUAAAAUAUGCCCCUUGGGAGGAUUUUGAGCUAAAGGCAACUGAGAACCAGGGAAGGUGAAAAAAAAAGGCUUCACCUCCCCUGCCAGAAAAGAGAGUAUUAAUUUCCCCUUUAGUAAAAGAAAUUUACAUUUAUAAGGGACAUUUCCAACUUUAAUGGUGGUACCAGGAAGAGGGCUACUCCCAGAGAUAACUUUUAUCACCUGAGAGACUCUUUAUCUACAUAACAAGACAACCCUUAUUUACUGCCCACUUCUUCCUCUCAUUCCCAUAACUUGCCUCCCCCACUCAGAAGCCCAAAUCCUUUUUUCCUUUUGUUUAGCCUAAAAUAGUACAUAAAAUAAAAUAAAAAUAAAAUAGUAUAUAAACCUCUAUCAUCUGGUCUCCUAGGAUCUCAUUUUUUUUUUUUAAGUCUAUUUUUGGCUUUUUUUUUUUUUUAGGACCUCACCCUCAGCAUAUGGAAGUUCCCCGGCUAGGGGGUGAAUCUGGGCCAUAGCUCUGAGCCGUGUCUGCAACCUACACCACCAAACAUGGAAAAAAGCUCAGGGCAAUGCCAGAUCCUUAAGCCACUGAGCGAGGCCAGGGAUAGAACCAGCCUCCUCAUGGAUACUAGUUAGGUUCUUUACUCCUGAGCCAAAACGGCAACUCCUAGGGUCUCAUUUCUUCAUAGAAUUUCUAUGCAUACUUAGGUAAUGAAAACCGACCAGGUGUUUUUUUUUUUUUUUUGGUUGUUAAUUUGUCUUUUCUCACUUUAAUUUCCAGGGCCCCAACAGGAGAAUCUUGCAGGGGAGAGGGAAACAUUUUUUUCUUUUCCUGAAUUAGAAUCAGCAGCUUUCCAGGUCCUCCCUGUCCGUCUCCACCUGCCUUCUGACCUGGGAGGCUGACCUGAGCGGCCUGAAUCAGCUCUUGGCUGAUGGGGCUCCAGGAAGGGGCAAGGAAUGUGAGGUGAGGGUCUUUGCUUGUGGCUUCCCUACUGGGUCUCUUUUUUUUUUUUUUUUUUUUUUUUGUCUUUUUUUGUCUUUUUGUUGUUGUUGUUGCCAUUUCUUGGGCCGCUCCCGCGGCAUAUGGAGGUUCCCAGGCUAGGGGUCCAAUCGGAGCUGUAGCCA